GAGGAUGCGAGCGUUAUCCGGAUUUAUUGGGUUUAAAGGGAGCGCAGACGGGAGAUUAAGUCAGUUGUGAAAGUUUGCGGCUCAACCGUAAAAUUGCAGUUGAUACUGGUUUCCUUGAGUGCAGUUGAGGCAGGCGGAAUUCGUGGUGUAGCGGUGAAAUGCUUAGAUAUCACGAAGAACCCCGAUUGCGAAGGCAGCUUGCUAAACUGUAACUGACGUUCAUGCUCGAAAGUGUGGGUAGCAAA
RNAcentral lists this ribosomal RNA (245 nucleotides) under uncultured bacterium. RNAcentral describes it as "partial 16S ribosomal RNA". It matches the Rfam family "Bacterial small subunit ribosomal RNA", at positions 528 to 772 of the family's 1533-position model. The record is from RNAcentral.